This 399-nucleotide ribosomal RNA is filed under the name uncultured bacterium. Its description in RNAcentral is "bacterial SSU rRNA". It matches the Rfam family "Bacterial small subunit ribosomal RNA", at positions 355 to 771 of the family's 1533-position model. The record is from RNAcentral.
UGGGGAAUAUUGGACAAUGGGCGCAAGCCUGAUCCAGCCAUGCCGCGUGAGUGAUGAAGGCCCUAGGGUUGUAAAGCUCUUUUGUGCGGGAAGAUAAUGACGGUACCGCAAGAAUAAGCCCCGGCUAACUUCGUGCCAGCAGCCGCGGUAAUACGAAGGGGGCUAGCGUUGCUCGGAAUCACUGGGCGUAAAGCGCACGUAGGCGGACUCUUAAGUCAGAGGUGAAAUCCUGGAGCUCAACUCCAGAACUGCCUUUGAUACUGGGAGUCUCGAGUUCGGGAGAGGUGAGUGGAACUGCGAGUGUAGAGGUGAAAUUCGUAGAUAUUCGCAAGAACACCAGUGGCGAAGGCGGCUCACUGGCCCGAUACUGACGCUGAGGUGCGAAAGCGUGGGGAGCAA